Molecule: ribosomal RNA, 1242 nt
Filed under: human gut metagenome
Description: bacterial LSU rRNA
Rfam family: Bacterial large subunit ribosomal RNA
Source: RNAcentral
GGUAGGAAGAAGAUUCUAAGGCCAACGGGAGAAGGGUUGUUAAGGAACUCGGCAAGUUGACCCCGUAACUUCGGAAUAAGGGGUGCUCAUGAAAGUGAGCCGCAGAGAAUAGGCCCAGGCAACUGUUUACCAAAAACACAGGUUUGUGCUAAAUCGAAAGAUGACGUAUACGAGCUGACGCCUGCCCGGUGCUGGAAGGUUAAGAGGAGAUGUGCAAGCAUUGAAUCGAAGCCCCAGUGAACGGCGGCCGUAACUAUAACGGUCCUAAGGUAGCGAAAUUCCUUGUCAGGUAAGUUCUGACCCGCAUGAAAGGCGUAAUGAUUUGGGCACUGUCUCAACAGCCCGCCCGGCGAAAUUGUAGUACCGGUGAAGAUGCCGGUUACCCGCGACAAGACGGAAAGACCCCAUGGAGCUUUACUGUAGCCUAAUAUUGGGUUUCGAUGUUGCAUGCACAGGAUAGAUGGGACACUGGGAAACAAUCGCUUUGGCGGUUGCGGAGUGGCCGUUGGGAUACCAUCCUUGCGAUAUUGGAAUUCUAACCUGCGGCUCUGAAUCGAGUCGGGGGACAUUGUUAGGUGGGCAGUUUGACUGGGGCGGUCGCCUCCUAAAGAGUAACGGAGGCGUUCAAAGGUUCGCUCAGCUUGAACGGAAAUCAAGCAAAAGAGUGCAAACGCAGAAGCGAGCCUAACUGCGAGACUGACGGGUCGAGCAGUAACGAAAGUUGGAGUUAGUGAUCCGGUGGUAUGUGAGUGGAAAUGCCAUCGCUCAACGGAUAAAAGUUACCCUGGGGAUAACAGGCUGAUCUCCCCCAAGAGUCCACAUCGACGGGGAGGUUUGGCACCUCGAUGUCGGCUCAUCGCAUCCUGGGGCUGUAUUCGGUCCCAAGGGUUUGGCUGUUCGCCAAUUAAAGCGGUACGCGAGCUGGGUUCAGAACGUCGUGAGACAGUUCGGUCCCUAUCUGUCGUGGGCGCAGGAUAUUUGAAAGGCGCUGUCCCUAGUACGAGAGGACCGGGAUGGACGAACCUCUGGUGCACCAGUUGUCACGCCAGUGGCACAGCUGGGCAGCUAUGUUCGGAUCGGAUAAACGCUGAAAGCAUCUAAGCGUGAAGCCGGCCUUAAGAUAAGAUAUCCCACUGAGAUAAUCAGGUAAGACCCCUUGAAGACUACAAGGUUGAUAGGCACAAUGUGUAAGUGGCGUGAGUCAUUGAGCAAGCGUGUACUAAUAGGUCGAGGGCUUGACCC